RNAcentral lists this ribosomal RNA (380 nucleotides) under uncultured eukaryote. RNAcentral describes it as "partial 18S ribosomal RNA". It matches the Rfam family "Eukaryotic small subunit ribosomal RNA", at positions 592 to 976 of the family's 1831-position model. The record is from RNAcentral.
CAAUAGCGUAUAUUAAAGUUGUUGCGGUUAAAAAGCUCGUAGUUGGAGUUCUGCCAGGUGCCGCCUGUCCGCCCCAGUGGUGAGUACGUGGCGCGCAUUUGGCCCUUUCAAGGGGAGCGUAUCUGCACUUUAUUGUGUGGUGCGGGAUCCUUGACUUUUACUUUGAGGAAAUAGGAGUGUUCCAAGCAGGCUCUCGUCGUGCACAGCUCAGCAUGGAAUAAUAGCAUUGGACCUCGAUUCUAAGCUGUUGGUUGCCAGAAGCGAGGUAAUGAUGAAGAGGGAUAGUUGGGGGCAUUCGUAUUUAACUGUCGGAGGUGAAAUUCUUGGAUUUGUUAAAGACGGACUACUGCGAAAGCAUCUGCCAUGGAUGUUUUCACUGA